GGUAUUGUUUACCCCACAUGGUAAGCCCCGGAACUUAUUAUGCUAUUGUAAACAAUGA
Molecule: regulatory RNA element, 58 nt
Organism: Dolosigranulum pigrum ATCC 51524
Lineage: Bacteria; Bacillati; Bacillota; Bacilli; Lactobacillales; Carnobacteriaceae
Rfam family: Ribosomal protein L13 leader
About the family: This family is a putative r-protein leader autoregulatory structure found in B. subtilis and other low-GC Gram-positive bacteria. It is located in the 5' untranslated regions of mRNAs encoding the L13-S9 (rplM-rpsI) ribosomal protein operon.
Source: Rfam